Molecule: ribosomal RNA, 396 nt
Filed under: uncultured bacterium
Lineage: Bacteria
Description: bacterial SSU rRNA
Rfam family: Bacterial small subunit ribosomal RNA
Source: RNAcentral
CGGGUUGUAAAGCACUUUCAGUAGGGAGGAAGGUAGUGUAGUUAACACCUGCAUUAUUUGACGUUACCUACAGAAGAAGCACCGGCUAACUCCGUGCCAGCAGCCGCGGUAAUACGGAGGGUGCGAGCGUUAAUCGGAAUUACUGGGCGUAAAGCGCAUGCAGGCGGCCGUGUUAAGUACAGAUGUGAAAGACCCGGGGCCGUUAACCUACCGGAAUUGCAUUUGUAAACUAGGCGAGGCUAGAGUCUUGUAGAGGGGGGUAGGAAUUUCUAGGUGUAGCGGUGAAAUAGCGUAGAGAUCUGAAGGAAUACCAGUGGCGAAGGCGGCCCCCUCGGACAAAGACUGACGCUCAGAUGCGAAAGCGUGGGGAGCAAACAGGAUUAGAUACCCUGGUAG